This 432-nucleotide ribosomal RNA is filed under the name Triticum aestivum (bread wheat). RNAcentral describes it as "partial small subunit ribosomal RNA". Lineage: Eukaryota; Viridiplantae; Streptophyta; Magnoliopsida; Poales; Poaceae. The record is from RNAcentral.
AUGGCGGCCGGCGCGCUCAGGGCUCAGCUCAACGCCCUCGUCGACUCCAUGUUCACCACGGGUAUUGUGGACGAGGCUUUCCAACACCUGCGGUCGGUGGAGCAGGAGGGCUUCCUCGCCGAGGUCGUCAACCUCUUCAUCCACGACGCCGACAACAUCCUCAACGAAGUCGCCCACCUGCUGAACCAGCCCGUGGUGAACUUCAGCAGGGUGGGCGCACUGGUGCAUCAGCUAAAGGGGUGCAGCGGCAGUGUUGGUGCUAAGAAAGUGAAUCUCUCCUGCACCCACUUUCGUCAGUCUUAUGAGGCAGAAAGUAAAGAAGGGUGCCUCAUGGCAUUGGACCUUGUUAGGAAUGAGUUUUAUGAUGUGCGCAACAAACUACAAACAAUGAUUCAGCUGGAGCAGCAGAUCACGGCCAUGGGUCCUCAGUAG